RNAcentral lists this ribosomal RNA (854 nucleotides) under Philautus nepenthophilus. RNAcentral describes it as "Philautus sp. n. LE-2020 partial large subunit ribosomal RNA". It matches the Rfam family "Bacterial large subunit ribosomal RNA", at positions 1183 to 2592 of the family's 2925-position model. The record is from RNAcentral. Lineage: Eukaryota; Metazoa; Chordata; Amphibia; Anura; Rhacophoridae.
UUACAGCUUAACCAACCCCUUCGAUAAAUUUCAUAAACAACCAUCAGCCCUUAUUUACCAUUGAAUAAUUCUAUAAUUAUAUAGAAGAUAUUAUGCUAGAACUAGUAACAAGAAUUUAACAUUCUCCAAAAUGUAAGUAUAAACCAAAAUGGAUAUUCCAUUGGUAAUUAACGAAAAUGAACCAAACACAGCAACUAUCAAGAGAACUCUGUGUAAAUUACUCGUCAACCUAACACUAGAGCAUUCCUGGAAAGAUUAAAAGAAAAAGAAGGAACUCGGCAAAUCUCGACCUCGCCUGUUUACCAAAAACAUCGCCUCUUGACUAAUAAUAAGAGGUCUAGCCUGCCCAGUGACAAAGUUCAACGGCCACGGUACCCUAACCGUGCGAAGGUAGCAUAAUCACUUGUUCUUUAAAUAAGGACUUGUAUCAACGGCAUCACGAAGGUCGCACUGUCUCCUUUCUCUAAUCAGUGAAACUGAUCUCCCCGUGAAGAAGCGGGGAUAAACCUAUAAGACGAGAAGACCCCAUGGAGCUUUAAACCUAUAGCAACUUACUGCAAAUUCCAUUAUAAUUUUAAAUUAUGCUUAACGGUUUUAGGCUGGGGUGGCCGCGGAGUAAAAAUCAACCUCCACGACGAAAAGAACUAAGUCUUUAUCCAAGAAUUACUAUUCUAAGAACUAGCACACUAACGUAUAAUGACCCAUAAAUGAUCAACGAACCAAGUUACCCUGGGGAUAACAGCGCAAUCUACUUAAAGAGCCCAUAUCGACAAGUAGGCUUACGACCUCGAUGUUGGAUCAGGGUAUCCCAGUGGUGCAGCCGCUACUGAUGGUUCGUUUGUUCAACGAUUAAA